CUUAAAAAAAAAAAAAAAAAAAAAAAAGAACGACCGAAAGACAGGGCCCAGCAAGCAAUAGCCGUCAUUUCAACGUCUCGGUUAAAUAUAGACCCGAUAUAGCCCGGCUAUGUGUAACCCACUUUUAGCCCAAAUAACAUUUUAAUCUGAAUAAAUGUUUUUUUUUCAAAAAUAAAUUGUGAGAUGUAUGAUAUUCCAUCAUGUAAGCAAAGUCAACUGCGAUUACAAGUUGUUUGUUUGCUUUAUUUUACAUGUUAUAUGUGUAGGCUAUGCGUAGCCACGAUUUAGCUCAUAUUCAGACCCGGCUAUAUUGUAGCCCACUUUUAGUCAAACAUUAUUAAUUGUAGUUUUUGGCCAGACAGUGCAUGAAAUGGUUGAUAUCCCAUCAUGUUCGCAUUGGUAAUGAUAUCUACAAAGUUCACUGCGUCAUUUCACGACAUGGUCGAUCUAUAGUCACGUAUUAGCUCUGAAUUGGACGGCUGCGGUCCGCUUUAGCCCACCUGAGUAAUCUGGUCUACUUACGGCUUGACUAUAGCCCUGAUUCAGACCAGCAAUAUAGUAUAAGAAUAGUAUAAGAAUAUUAGUCUCAAAAAUGUUUUUGCUCACACAGCAAUGUUUGCUGUCACACAUAAACAUAACAUUCAUACACAAUCUACGAUAUUAUUUGACUAUCAUUUCAUUUUAAAUUAAAUGCAAUUGCAUUUCUCAACCGCUAGAUGGCACAAUCGAAACACUAAUGAUUACUGGCAUUGCGCGACUAUCACUUUAGCCAGAUCUUGCGGUAAACAUUUCUGCCAUUUUAAAUUUUAUUACACGAGGCAGCUGUCGGAGAGAAGAGCAACGGGCGAGCGGCACUCUGAGAAAAUUUCUACUUCGAUCUUACGCAGUGAUGACCAACUUUCCAUCGGCAAAUGAAUGGGAAAUUAAAAAUGCAAUUUCUGGACAUUUCAAACAAGCACCAGGGAGAGCAGGGGGUGGUGGAUAUGGACAAAGAUAAUUCAUUUUUGCAUCUUAAGUUGUUUUACAUAUUUUACAAUAUUUUAUUUGAUAAUUUUUAUUUUCUAAGUUGUUAAUAUUGUUCUAAAUAAAUCCUUUAUAUUCAA
Perca fluviatilis (European perch) is the source of this 1103-nucleotide long non-coding RNA. RefSeq lists it as uncharacterized. Lineage: Eukaryota; Metazoa; Chordata; Actinopteri; Perciformes; Percidae. The transcript is spliced from 2 exons. The record is from RefSeq and is a predicted model, not a curated record.